AAGGAACCUGACUUUGCGGUCCACUGAGCCAAUGGCAAGCAAGUUCCCACCACUGUAGUGGAUUACCCUGUGUGGAUCUGACCUGGUGAAACUAAUUCUGGAGGAAGGCACGCAUAAGAGGGGCAGAAUCGAACCCUGAAAUUUGGACACAAAUCGUGACAGUUUCCAGCCGUGCGCCAGAAUCAGUAGUGCUGGACUCCAACAGCUCUUCUCCAGCCAACGGCCAAUGGAAGAUGGACGAAGUGCAUUGCUUUGCUUUGCUGGUGGUGAACAGUGAUAGUGAAUCACUGAUUGCGGUGUAGAAAGAGAGGAGGCGAAAACCUCAGGCUGCUGGUUCCUCUUCUUCCACUUCAGUCUCCAGGCUGCCCCCAUUGGACUUUGCUGCUCACCCUUCACUCGGGUGGAUCCUGGUGCAUCUAGACCAAACCAAGGAUGAGGCUACCUGGCUCCUUCUCUCUUCCCGGAGAUGGAAGAUGUGAUGUUGCACUCCAUAAUGCUUUAUAAAAGUAUGUUUAUAAAUGUGAAUAUGAUGUAACUUGAAUAUGCUUUAGGCAAAAGAUCUCUCGUAAGGUAUCAUUACAAAGCUUAUAAUCUACUAAGUCUGUUCAUCCUAUUUGUAUGAAUGUAUCAUUAUUGUAUGUGAAACUAGGAAUGUGUAGCACAACUCUGAGGUCCUAUUGUAAUUAUGCAAAGUGUGGGCCAUGAAUGGUGGUUUAGAAUCUUGAUGGCUCCCUUUGUCUAGGACAAUUGACUGUACAUGGCUCUGUUUACCUGCAUACCUGCAGGCCAGUCAUGAAGAAAUCCCCUAGUUACCACCUGAGCUGGACUAACAAGGAUUGUACCAGGGGA
Long non-coding RNA from Gopherus evgoodei (Goodes thornscrub tortoise), 849 nucleotides. RefSeq lists it as uncharacterized. The record is from RefSeq and is a predicted model, not a curated record. NCBI's taxonomy places the organism in Eukaryota, Metazoa, Chordata, Testudines, Testudinidae. The transcript is spliced from 3 exons.